AUUUAUAUAGUUUAAGUAAAACAUUACAUUUUCACUGUAAAAAUAGAGAUUUAUCUUUUAUAAGUA
Molecule: transfer RNA, 66 nt
Filed under: Neoperla sp. FS-2017
Lineage: Eukaryota; Metazoa; Arthropoda; Insecta; Plecoptera; Perlidae
Description: tRNA-Glu
Rfam family: tRNA
About the family: Transfer RNA (tRNA) molecules are approximately 80 nucleotides in length. Their secondary structure includes four short double-helical elements and three loops (D, anti-codon, and T loops). Further hydrogen bonds mediate the characteristic L-shaped molecular structure. tRNAs have two regions of fundamental functional importance: the anti-codon, which is responsible for specific mRNA codon recognition, and the 3' end, to which the tRNAs corresponding amino acid is attached (by aminoacyl-tRNA synthetases). tRNAs cope with the degeneracy of the genetic code in two manners: having more than one tRNA (with a specific anti-codon) for a particular amino acid; and 'wobble' base-pairing, i.e. permitting non-standard base-pairing at the 3rd anti-codon position.
Source: RNAcentral